Molecule: ribosomal RNA, 401 nt
Filed under: uncultured Debaryomyces
Lineage: Eukaryota; Fungi; Ascomycota; Saccharomycetes; Saccharomycetales; Saccharomycetaceae
Description: SSU rRNA
Rfam family: Eukaryotic small subunit ribosomal RNA
Source: RNAcentral
GCAAGUCUGGUGCCAGCAGCCGCGGUAAUUCCAGCUCCAAUAGCGUAUAUUAAAGUUGUUGCAGUUAAAAAGCUCGUAGUUGAACCUUGGGCUUGGUUGGCCGGUCCGCCUUUUUGGCGAGUACUGGACCCAACCGAGCCUUUCCUUCUGACUAACCUUUCGCCCUUGUGGUGUUUGGCGAACCAGGACUUUUACUUUGAAAAAAUUAGAGUGUUCAAAGCAGGCCUUUGCUCGAAUAUAUUAGCAUGGAAUAAUAGAAUAGGACGUUAUGGUUCUAUUUUGUUGGUUUCUAGGACCAUCGUAAUGAUUAAUAGGGACGGUCGGGGGCAUCAGUAUUCAGUUGUCAGAGGUGAAAUUCUUGGAUUUACUGAAGACUAACUACUGCGAAAGCAUUUGCCAAA